Molecule: ribosomal RNA, 482 nt
Filed under: Cladosporium sp. K 1-14
Lineage: Eukaryota; Fungi; Ascomycota; Dothideomycetes; Cladosporiales; Cladosporiaceae
Description: eukaryotic LSU rRNA
Rfam family: 5.8S ribosomal RNA (bases 131-284)
Source: RNAcentral
GAUGUUCUAACCCUUUGUUGUCCGACUCUGUUGCCUCCGGGGCGACCCUGCCUUCGGGCGGGGGCUCCGGGUGGACACUUCAAACUCUUGCGUAACUUUGCAGUCUGAGUAAACUUAAUUAAUAAAUUAAAACUUUUAACAACGGAUCUCUUGGUUCUGGCAUCGAUGAAGAACGCAGCGAAAUGCGAUAAGUAAUGUGAAUUGCAGAAUUCAGUGAAUCAUCGAAUCUUUGAACGCACAUUGCGCCCCCUGGUAUUCCGGGGGGCAUGCCUGUUCGAGCGUCAUUUCACCACUCAAGCCUCGCUUGGUAUUGGGCAACGCGGUCCGCCGCGUGCCUCAAAUCGACCGGCUGGGUCUUCUGUCCCCUAAGCGUUGUGGAAACUAUUCGCUAAAGGGUGUUCGGGAGGCUACGCCGUAAAACAACCCCAUUUCUAAGGUUGACCUCGGAUCAGGUAGGGAUACCCGCUGAACUUAAGCAUAUC